AGUGCUGGCCUGCGGGAGAGAGGGAUUCAGGAAAUGAGGUGCAGAUGCGGGCAGUUUACUUUAUCUGAGUUAGAAAUCUUGCAGUCAUUCAGAGCAGCUUCUUGCUCUCGCACAAUCUUGUCAUCAGUCUUGGGUUUCAAUUUCCUUUUACCAGUCUUACAUUUUUUUCAUUCUGAAGAUAUUCCCAUUGAUAAAGAAAUCAGAAGUGAAAUUGUUAAAAUUCCAUUUUCUUAGUCCUUUCUCAACUCAGCUGUCUCCAAUCUCCUUCUCCUGCAGCCACAGCAAUUUUUCUACUAUGCAAGUCUGAUCCUGUUCAGCUUUCUCUCCCCUUCAGAAUAAAAUCUAAACUUUUUAAUUUUUUUUUUGACCAAUGAGGCUUCCCUAAUUUUUUGCCCUCUUUAUCAUUUUGGCCUCACCUCUUGCCUCUUUGCUAUCCCUCCUUGCACCCUGGCCAUUCCAAGAUAUGCAAUUCGUGGUCAGAGCCGAGUUUCUCAGCAGCAGCACUAUUUUGGCUCAGAUAAUUUAUUUGUCGUGGAGGCUGUCUUGUGCGUUGUAGGAUGUCUAGGUGCAUUCCUGACCUGUACCAACUAGAUACUGGUAGCGCGUACCCAGUUGUGACAACCAAGAAUGCUUCCAGACUGCCAAAUAGCCCCUGGGGAUCAGAAUCGCCUUUGGUUAAACACUGGGAUGAGGCGUGCUGUGUCGUGUCCGCCCUCCGUUUCUAUUCUUUCAGCAUGGAGAGACCGUCUGCCUGUGACCAUCCUGGACAACGCCUGCUCGUCUCUUAGCAUCUCUGCUCAGUCCUGCUUCCUUGGUGAAGUCUUCCACAACUGCCAAGGUGGAGAGUUCGGUGAGCUGGCCCUUUAGAGCAGGGUCCAAUUGUAUUCUAAUUCUUUUGGUUUGCCUGUCUCCAUAUCAGACUGAGGUUUAGAGGGCCAGACUGUGUUUUAACAUUUUGUCCUCAGUACCUAACUAAUAAGUACCUGGCUGAAAAUAUUAACAAUAUCUGUGUGCAUCUUUAAAACUUUACAAGUUUGAGUGUUGGGUAUGAUUAAAGCAAUUUAGAAAAGACAUUUAAAGGCAAGUUAAUUUUUUUGUCUUAGCUGAUGUGAUGUCCAUCAUAUCCAGGUUUUAAUUUGUCAUUGCAUCUGAAAUAUGAUACUUGGUAUAUAUUUUGUGAAUAGUUGCCUGUAAUUAUUAAACUUACUUUUGAAUACAAUUUAUAGAUUGUCUUGCAUAUCUACACCCAAGCUUUUAAAACUAAACAAUUUAUGUAAAUCUUAUAAAGAUACUGUAUAAUACUAUGUAUGUUAGAUCCAUGUCUCUUUUCAAUUUGAGGAUUUUAUAUGGAAAGUCAUGGGAUACAUGUACUUUUGAAUAACCACCUUCCCAGAGCCAUACAGUUAUUUGACAAUAAUUUGGUAUUUCUGCCUUUUGUUAUUUAGGACCAACGAUGCUUAAAAAAGGUAUUUUUAGGGGCCAGCCCUGUGGCGCAGUGGUUAAGUUCACACGUUUCAGUUCAGUGGUCCAGGGUUUGCUGGUUCAGAUCCUGGGUGUGGACCUACACAAUGCUUGUCAAGCCAUGCUGUGGCAGGUGUCCCACAUGAAAUAGAGGAAGAUGGGCACAGAUGUUGGCUCAGGGCCAAUCUUCCUCAGCAAAAAGAGGAGGAUUGGCAGCAGAUGUUAGCUCAGGGCUAAUCUUCCUCAAAAAAAAGAAAGAAAAAAGGUAUUUUUAUUUAGGAAGUUUGUUAUCUAUUGGUGAUAAUUGUUAAUAAUACUUUGAACAUUUCUAUGUAGUGCUAUACUUUGCCAAUGCUGCCAUCUUCUGGACGCCAUUAAGCACUGUAACAAUCAGAGAAGCUGACAGUGCAUAGUGGUUUCCAAAAGUAAUGCGUAUUAGUGUUAAAAAAAGCUUUCAUUUUCUUUCUUUUUUCUUUUUUUAGUUUGAAAAAAGCCUGGAUAUAUAUAUUUUUUCGAUUUCCCUCAUAAAAUACUUGACUAUCUCCUUACUUUCCUAACCAUGUACUGCUGAAGUCAGAAUGGUAUAGGGUGUAAAAUGGAUAUGCUAAACGUCUUAAUUUUGCCCCUCUGGAUCUGUUAUCCACGCUUUCUACUCUGCUUUGUGUCCUGGGAGGCAGAGGCUGACCUAUAUGGACUAUAGCAACAAGAUUCCUUGACUUUCAACUUCUAAUUGGAUCUGGACAAUAAGAAGCAUUCAAAGGAAAUCAAAGGGGGAGAAGGGAGUAGAGCUGGGUCCCUCAUAUGAGAUCACAGGGCUCUGUCCCUUAACUGAAGGUCAUAUCUCCCAGCAAGGGGCCUUACCAAAAUAGGUCAGUCUGCCUUAGGGAAUUAGUAGUCACUUCCUCCUUGUAUUCUUCAGGGCUGUUCUGAAACCUAGACACUUCACAUCCCCUGUGGCUCCCUACAUUCUGCUCAUACCUUUGUAAAUGAUCCUUUCAUUAAAUAUUCCUUAAAUCACCCAGCUUGAGUAUAUUUCCUGUUGGGACACUGACCAAAACAGUGGGAAUAAUAAUAGCAGUUAACCCAGAGGUGUGUUAUAAGGGUUAAAUAAACUAAGACCUGGCUAGAGCUUAAAUAAUGGCUGAGAAAAGAGAUAAAGAUGAAGGCAGUGGGACAGAAAAUGAUAAUGAUGGAGGAAAAAGAUGCUGCAAUACUAAGAUAAUUGCUAUCCUUCAGUGGUUAGAAGCCCCCCAAAAUGGAAUACUUAUAUUGAAAUAUCUUUAUAGAAAAGAUUCAGAGAUAUACAAGAAAAAAGAUUUCCUGCUAUAAAGGUGUAGCUGAAUCGGCAGAUCAAAAGUUCACAAUGUACAAGAAAAACAGCUUUAGGAUGAUCAACAAUAAGACAUGAGAAAAAGAAAGAAUUCUUUAAGCAACCAGCUCCCCCUAAAAAAAAGUCCCCUAUGAGGAGGAAAAAUAAAAGAUUGGUUCAUACUAAUAUUUAAUUCCAGAAGACAUUAAGGUCUACAAAAUUCUAAGGGAAAGAUGACACAAGAUUAUAACCAAAUACAGCUUUCCUUAGUGUCAAGGAAUUCCUUGAUUAAAAGAUGUCUAUUUUUGGAAUAUUGUAUUUCACAAUAGGCAUUCCUAAGGGAGUCUUAAUUUUAUCUGUGGUCAUCAGUGUAUAUUGUACCAUGAUGGUAAAAGCUUAUCUAUUAAACAAAUUAUGAACAUGUUUUUAGAAAAUACCUGGUAAAAUGACACAAUGCUUGUAAUUUGUAAACUAAACCAUGUAUUUGAAGUCAUGCACCCCCUUUUUUCAAUCGUCAGAGACAUGUACCAUUUGUCAGGGACGUCAUCCUUGGUUGUGAUAAAAAGACUCAAAAGUUUACACGGUGUAUUUUUACCCUUUCUUGUUUAUGCUCAUAUAUCUCCAUUAUAUAAUAUGUUAAUAUGGGCUCAAAUAAAUAGGAUUCCAUACACAAAAUUAUAGCCAGCUGUUAUGGGCUGAAUUGUGCCCUCCCUCACUCAAAUUCAUGUGUUAAAGUCCUGGUCCCAGUACUUCAGAAUAUGACUGUGUUUGGUGAUGGGGUCUUUAUAGGGGUAAUUAAGUUAAAAUGAAGUUAUUAGGGUGCAUCCUAGUCCAAUAUGACUGUGUCCUUAUAAGAAGAGGGAAUUUGGACACUGAUCUGUACGGAGGGAAGAUGUGUGAAGAUAAAGGCCAUGAAGUAGGACUAGGUGUUCUGAAAAUCUGCCACCACCUGUUCAAGCAAAUAGUUUAUGCUCAGUACAUUUUUGAGACUGAUAUUAUAUAUACUGUGAUGGCCGUUGUGUCUGCUCAACACAAUAUUUGUGACGAGCAGCUCAGUUCCUUUGGUCAUGUGAGGCUGAUGAUUAGGCAUUUAAUCUUUACCAAGGCUCGGUAGAACUCCAGGACACAUUUCUUCAGAGAUGUUAGCUGCAGGAGGAAACAUGGCUCUUCCCCACUACUUUAGAUGGCUACACUGUAAUUCUCCUAUUGCCACUUUCCAGCGUUCGAUCUGAAUAAUACUCAAGCUGCUGCAAAAGCUGGGUAUCAUUGGCUCUGCUCAGCCAUAAGGCCUAAGUGGCAGAACAGCUUCCUUCAUUACAUCCAGGACCUGUUGCAGAGUUUUUUGUUGCUUGCGGGCCCCUUCAAACUGGCAGCACACUCAAAUAUGUAUUUAUCACCCUCAAAAUCAAGAGAGACCCAAAAAGUAUAUCCCUUUUCUCCUUGAGAAGUGCUUUGUUCAGCAACUUGUCCCUUAUUUUGGAGGAGCUGUCCUACAUGACCCAGACCACUCAAUCCCUAGAAACUUCUCUUAGGUGGCAGGACCGUGAUUUUAGUGGGGUUUAUCUCCCAUCCGAUGCCACCUACAUGUGUCACUCUGGUAAAUAGGAUGCUUAUUAUUUCUUGGGUAUCAGGUUGACUCAGCAUGAUGUCAUCCAUGUUGUAGACUGGCAAGAUGUUCUGUGGUAUUUCAAGAUAAUCGGAAUCUCUGUGAACCAGACCAGAGAUUGAUAUUUUCUGUAAAGAGCCAAAAUAGUGGAUAUUUUAGGCUUUGUGAGCCAUACGAUCUCUGUUGCAACUGUUCACCUCUGUGGUUGUAGCAUGAAAACAGCUGUAGGUGAUACAUAGAUACCACAUGAAUGUGAGUGUGUGUCAAUAACACUUUGUUAAUAAACGCUGAAAUUUGAAUUUCAUAUAAUUUUCAUGUGUCAUGAAAUAUUAUUCAUUUUUGGAUUUUUGUCAACCAUUUAAAAAUGUAAAAAUCAUUCUUAGCUUGUGGGCCAUACGAAAAUAAAUGGCGGGCUGGAUUUGGCCUAUAGGUUGCCACUUGCUGACAGCUGGAUUGAAUUAUGGCAGAGAGCAAGAAAAUUGCCAUAGACAACUGCGGCAAACCAUGAAAGCAUAUUGCUGACCCUACCAGGUGAAAGCAAACUGCUCGUGCUUACCUUUAUACUUUGUCAUACUGAAAUAAGCAAAGGAUGUGUCAAUAACUUCAUACUAGAUGGGAGGGGCUAUAUUAAUUCAUUCCAUGAAAGAAGCCAAAUCUGAAAUAGUAGCUGUGGUUGAAGUCACCACCUAAUUAAUUUUAUGAUAAUCCAUAGUCAUUCUCUAAGAUACUUCAGUCUUCUGAAUAUGCCAUAAAGGCAAGUUAAAUAGUAAUAUAAUAGGAGUCAUUAUCCUAGAACCUCUCAGAUUUUUGAUAGUAGCACAACUCUCUGACAUUCCCCCAGGAGUUUCAGAAUGUAAUUAAAAAACAGUUAGUUAGAAAUAUUUAUGUAUAGCAUAAUAAUAAUUAAAAAAUAUAUGUUUAUAUGUGUAUAAAAUAUAUACAAAUAUGUGUUACAAUGUUGAAUUGGUUAUUACCUGGUUGUGUGAUUAUGGGUAAUUUUUUUUUCUUAAAGAUUGGCACCUGGGCUAACAACUGUUACCAAUCUUCCUUUUUCUUUUUCAAAGAUUGGCACCUGGGCUAACAACUGUUGCCAAUCUUUUUUUUUUUUCCCCUGCUUUAUCUCCCCAAACCCCGCCUGUACACAGUUGUAUAUCUUAGUUGCACAUCCUUCUAGUUGUGGGAUGUGGGACACCACCUCAACGUGGCCUGAUGAGUGGUGCCAUGUCUGCACCCAGGAUCCGAACCCUGGGCCGCCGCAGCGGAGCGCAUGAACUUAACCACUCGGCCACGGAGCUAGCCCCUGGGUAAUUUUUUUACUUUUGUGCUUUUUAAUAUUUUCCAUUACUUAUAGUAAAAAUGUAUUCCCUUACAGUCAGAAAAGACUCUAAUUUAUUUUUGUAAGAAUCACUGUUAAAGUCAAUACUAAAUUUAUCUGGAUGAGGUAUAUGAAAUAAUCCUGAGAAUAGUUGAUACCAGCGCUAACCUCAGCAGAUGUAAAUAUUUGAGUCAUAAUCACUGUACCAAUUUCAAUUAGCUCAUUAUUGUUAUUUUAUGAUUUAAUUAAAUGUUUGAAGUAACAUACAUCCAGUCUUUAUUAUUAUGCAUAUAUUUUCAAAGAGAAUUCUAAAAGCUCUGGCUUCCAAGUGAAAGAGUAUUAAUGAAUGGAGCCUAUUUAUAAAUGCUUCUUAAACUAUGUUAAUGAUGUGUGAAAUAUGGGGCACUAAACUAACUAGGCAAUUCAGUGAUGCCGUCGUCAGCCACGGUGCUGCACGUGAAGACGGUUUGUCCCUGUCGUGCUGUGGUGAGGCAGAGGGUGUGUGAAUGCUCGGUCACCACUGCACACCUAGACUCCUAGUGCCCCUCUUAGCACUGCCACUAUUAAUUAGAGAACGAGGAAAAAAGAUUAUGACUGUUUGUUUGUCUUCUUGAUAUUUUCCUUGAGUUUUCUCUAUCUUCUGAGGCUUUAAAAUUCUAGGCUUGGAAAUCAUAGCUCAUUCCUGGGGUCCUAGUGAUUUUACUGCCACUCAGCAUAAUGAAGAGAAAGACUUUCAACAAGUGCUUUCUUCAAGAGGGCCUUUCUAGGCUUUUCUCACCUGGGUGUGUUGACUGGUGCUCAUAGUGAGGAUGAAAGCAAGGUAUUGUCGGAGAAGGUAAGUUCAGGGAAAGGCUUUGACCUCCUGAAAAUGAGAGGGUCUUAGACACUUAGACAAGUUAUCUGAUGUGAGAAAACCCUUCCAUAGCCCUUAUGUUUGGGGGAGAAAGUGUGUAGAAACAGCAAGGGAGCACUCGGCUGGCAGUUUCAGUUUUUCAAUGUUCAGAAGGUGUGAUGAGUUAUAUGCUCUCUAGGGCCUUGGAGCGCCUCUUCCUCUCUGGCGCCCUGGCUUACGUCUCUCUAACACUAAGCACGCUGGGUUCUAAUUACUGACAUCCUGGGUGGCACUUGUGCCUCGCCCUGCCUGCCUGCUCACCAAACUGUGAGCUGCUUGAGGUCAGGACCAUGUCAUAUUCUACUUUGUAUCCCCAGCAUCCAGUAACUGGCAUGCGCAGGGCACGUGAAAACACAACCUGCAUGAAUGAACUAUUGGGAAAGACUGGUCUGCGGGGACUCUAGCUGUAGGCUCAUCUUCCUCAGUAGUGGGUGUAAGGGGGAUAAGAGGAAGACAGGAAGCAAAUAUGUUUUGAGCUCCUACAUUUAGCCAUUGCAUAUUUUUACUUAAUGCCUUUAAGAUGUGACAUAGGUAUAAUUAUGGCAAUUUUACAGCACGUAGAGUGUGUAAUUUGCCUCAACAAGUGACCAACUCUGAAUAUGAACCCCAGGUUUCUCUCAACUUUAUAACCCAGGUUUCUUUCACUCUAAUAUGCCUUUAGUGACAGUAAUUGGUAGCAUGGUCUCUAUAGAAUAAGAUUAUUGCUACAGACUUAGGAAAAUAGACCCUAGGAGUAUUUGGAGUGGAAGGAGCUUUUUUGAGAUCCUAGCUGUGCAAAGCUUACUUCAGCAGAGUCCUUAUUUCUAGUAUUCCUGCAAACGGCUUCUGAAAGAGGGUUGGUAUAGGGGAGGGAGCGGGUGGCAGGAUAUGUGUAUUGUACCAUUAAGGCCUGGAAAAAUUUGUUCCUUUCAUCUUUCCCCAGUAUGCCUCCUCCUCCAUGAUUCCCCCCUGAUUCCACCUUUCCAUUCUUGUAGUACUCAGUUUGUACCACUCACAAAGCAUUGUCAUACUGCCUUCUAUUGUAAAUGUUUAUGUAUCUGACUUGACUCAAUGUUUAUGUAUCUGACUUGACUCUGGUUCUGUAUUUUCGGUACUUUUGUCUCUGGUUCUAACACAGUGUAGCAAGUAGAUGGUCAAUAAAUGCUUGCCUUUCUCUUUCAAAUUUAUGCUGAAAUCUUUUUAAACUAUUAAGGUAUUUCCCUUUCCUCCAAAUAGAGAGGAACUGCAUGAAGGCGAUCUCGAAGGAUCCACUGAUAUUGUGUGGGAACACAGUGGCCGUGGUGAUGUGUUGCCUAGAUCCUGCUUCAGUGAAGGACUGGUUGUCCCAGCUGCUGGGAGUGGUGUCAGCGGACGGCUUCGGCUGGCACUGUCUUCAGGGAUGGCUUCAGCUGUAAAGAGCUGCCUCAGCCAAGGUCACGCCUGUCCCGGGGCAGCCGACCUCCAGUGACUGGUCGAGGUUGGGGUAUAAAGGCCUGGCCUUUUUAAUCCAAUGUGGGACAGCUCUGAUGGGCCAUUUUCACUUCCAUUCAAGAAACUGUGCUGGGAUUUUUAAUUUAAUUUUUCUGUCUUUUUAAAGUGGAUGCAAUUCAUUAAAAAUUUAUGAAUAAUUAUUACUGAGCCAUAAAGUAUUUCUGAUCCAUUACCUCACUUGAAUAGAAGUGGGUUAAGAAUCAUUUUCUUUAGGAAACCCCAUUUAGAUAAUGUUUCCUUUUUUUUCUGCCCCCUCCCUAUGUGAUGUCAAAAGUUUGUAUAUUACAAAAGUUUAUUGAUCAGGAUGCUAAGCACUUGACGCUUCUAUUUUUUAAAAAUUGGAUUCAUAUAAUAUGUACUGAGGGUACAUGAUAGAAUAGAAAGCAUGUGAGCAUUAGAGUCAGACUGAGAAUUAAUGCCCCAGCAAAUAUAUGUAAAACACUUAGUACACGGCGAAUACUUAGUGAUAGUUUAAUUUUCUUUUUUAUAUUGUGUGUUACUAAUUCUGCUGGCACCUUCACAAUGUUAUCUCAUCUCCUUGCAUCCAUUCUUCCCAGCAACAUCUCGUCGUCUCCCCAACCAUUAAUUCCAAACUAUAGUCAAAAUGAUCUUUAAAAAAUGAAAAUCUGAUUGGUCUCUUCUCUGCUUAAAAUCCUAAGACUUCUUAUUGCUCUUAAGAUAUAGACCAAAAUUCUUCCAUCGGCCUUUAAGAACCUGAAUGUUCUGGCCCUGUUCACCUCUCUGGGUUCAUCUCUUAUAAGCCUGCUUUCCUUCAUUCUCUCCACUACAGCCCCUUUCACCUUCUUCUAGUUCCUCAUGUGUUUGUCGUGUCUCUGCUGUUCCCACCGCCUGGAAUGUUCCAUUCCUGCCCAUCUCUUCCCCUUGGUUAGUUAGCUCUUUCUCAUCCUUUAGAUCUCAGCCCAGGAGAGUCUUCUCUGACCUGCCACCCCUCCCCUCAGUUUAAAUCAUUGGUAUAUACUCCUGUACGACUAUGUUCCCUCACUUCGGGGCACUUAUCUAGAUUUGUAACUCAGCAUCAGUGUCAUCAAUUAAUUGGUUUCUGUCUUUCCCACAGGACUGAGUUCCCUGAAAGCAGGAAGCUUGUUACUGAAUUCUUAUAGCCUAGUUCAGUGAUUAGAUCGUAGUAGGUAGCCAGUAAAUAUUACACGGUUUAAUCAGCAAAAAACAGAGCAAGGUGUGUGAAUGUGGAUGUAUAUUGUUUCUAUUAUUAUUAUUUUUUAAUAAAGGAGGAAACUGAAGCUCAUUUAAACCCAGUCAUACCACUUGUAGGUCCAGAGUACCUUACAAUUUUUAAAAAGCACAUUUGUUUUUAUGAAUAUUUAAGUACAUUUCCUUUUCUCUUUGUAUUAUCCUUGUAUUAAAACAUUCUGAUUGUUUUUGGGGCCGGCCGGUGGUGCAGCAGUUAAGUUGCUGCUCUCCACUUCGGAUGCCUGGCAUGGACCUAGCACUGCUGUCAAGCCAUGCUCUGGCAGGUGUCCCACAUAUAAAGUAGAGGGAGAUGGGCGCAGAUGUUAGCUCAGAGCCAAUCUUCCUCAAAAAAAAAAAGUGUAAAAAAAUAUAUAUUCUUAUUGUUUUCGAUCUGUCUCACUUUAUUCUCAAUUACUUGGAACUGAUAAGACUCUAAUAUUCCUCUAAAAUUCACUUAUGCCUUCUGCCUUGUGAAUGACAAAGCACUGCAAUGACCCUGAAAUAUAAUAUAAUAAUGAAAGUCUAGCCUGUUGAGUGUUGCCCUGGGAAUGUAAACUGAUCCCAAAUUGAUACUCAAGUCAAUUCAUCAAGCAUUUGAACUACACCAGAUAGUGCAUGCUAACAGUGUGAUUUAUGGCAGGAGCCUUGAUCCACGCUGAAUCAGUUUGACUUCUGGAGGGACCGGAGACUGAAUAAAGGCAGUCACGUGGGUGCUCUAUGCUGCUGUGACCAAUCUCUAAUAGAAACCAUGGACGCCAAGGCUGAGGUGAGCUUCCCUGGUUGGCAUUAUUCCACACUUGUCACACAUUGCUGCUGAGGGAAGCAAAUGUCUGUAAGUGCUGAUUAUAUUGUAAGUGAAUGUAAGUGAGGCCAUCUUUUAUGUGACUCUGUGUGACUACUCACUGCUCUGCACGUACUCUAAAAUAAUUCACAUGCUCUCCUGAUUUAUGGCCUCUGCUUACGUAUGUACUGCCCUAUAGCUUGAUCAAUUAAAAAUUUGUUCUACAAGUUUCUUUCCAGGAACAGGCUGACCACAGGCGGGAAAUACACCUACAAGGUAUCCAUCACAGCUGACGGAAGAAUGGAACAAUAAAAGACCCUGGAUUCUGUCAUGCCUGAAGGCUUACUUUUCCAAACCUCCUCCUUACUCCCUAUUUUCCCUAUAUAACUACCUCAAGAUUCUGUAAUUGUUGAAGAUGGGUUUUUUGAAACUUUAGUCACCCAUCUUCUGAUUUUGCCUGCUAAUCCAGUUAAAGCUUCCUUUCUUGAUCCCUCACUUGUGGUGAUUUAUUGGCUCAGAUCCCGAUGAGCAGAGCCCAUUGCUCAGUAACACAUAUGACUCCAAUGGGAAAGGAAAACUAAAAGCUUAUUCCUGGUCUCCCCUGGACUCCACCCUGUGGACUUUCUACCUUUGCUCAUUUUCAUCUGUAGCCUUUCACUAUAAUAAACGGUAACCAUGAGUAUAACAUCUUUUCUGCUUUAUAUGAGUCCUUAUAGAGAAUCAUUGAAUCUGAGGGUGGUCUUGAGGACCCCUGUCACAGCUGCUUAGAAAAGGAAUGGACUUUGAGAUUAUUUGCAUGGGUUUAAGACUGCUGUGUGGAUCUUUUUUUUGUUUUUUGAGGAAGAUUAGCCCUGAGCUAACAUCUGCUGCCAAUCCUCCUCUUUUUGCUGAGGAAGACUGGUCCUGAGCUAACAUCCGUGCCCAUCUUCCUCUACUUUAUAUGUGGGACACCUACCACAGCAUGGCUUGCCAAGCAGUGCCAUGUCUGCACCCGGGAUCUGAACCGGCAAACCUCGGCCGCGGAAGCAGAACGUGCGAACUUAACCACUGCGCCACUACAAUGCCCCAGGUGCUGUGUGGAUCUUGAUCAAGUUAGUCCAUCAAAUUGCCCCUCUAUUUCUGCAUAAUUAAAACUAGCGUAAUAACAUCUAUGUUACAGUAUUGGUGUGCGUAUUAAAUGAGAUAAUGUAAGAAAUGUGCCUGGCAUGUGUUUAGUUAAAGGUAGCUAUUAUUAUCACGGUGGGGUAAGGGGUGUAGGAACACAAAGAUUGUUAAGACAUAUUCUCCACUGGCUAGUACUUUAGUCGGGGGGAAAUCUUUGUCAUGAGGACUGUGGGAAAAUUAGGUUAUUUCCCACUUGGUCCUCUCUGUGUAGGUGGAUACCUGGUUGAGUCAGCCGCACAAACUAUUCCUCCUACUCAUAGGCACUGCUGUCCUGGGGUAGAGAUGGGACAGGCAGAGAAGGAAAGGAUCUUCUGCCUGGGUCUAAAGCUAUGUCUGAGAUUCAUGCACAUGCACUUAGCCUGUAUGUGCCUCUUUUAUCACGUCCAUACUAGGAAAUGGACCCUCAACAGGGUACAAUUGGUCUUUUGUAACUCUUUAAUAUUCAAGACAGCCCGCAAAGUUCCUUUUAACCUUAUUUUGCUUGAAUAACAACACUGGAGGGUCAGGGGACACCAUGAGAUUGGCCUGUGCUUCUCCUCCUUUCCAGUCUCUCCCCUCCCACGCACACACUGGGCCAAGCCAAGCCCUUCCUAGGAAGUGGCACGGAGUCGUCUGUUUCCUCAAACCCCUGAUGUUAGGACAAUAAUCUCCAAACAUCUGGGUCAAGCCAGGUUAUUCUUCACGUAAGGAUUUCAAUUAAAACUAGAACACAAAUGCAAUCUCAAAUUUACCAUAAGUUGUAUUCUCUAAAUCAGUUGUUUCAAACUGAGAAUUCAUUUUCAUGAAAACCAUGUCAUAUAAUAGUAAUAAAAAAACCUUUGUUUUGUUAAUUUUGUGUUUGACAAAUAGUCUUUCACUAUUGCUGCUACAGCUGAACUUGGCUUUUAUGUACAACACUGUGUCCCCUGAUGUCGCUCUAGGACUCCCUUUCAUCUCCUGCUUCAUCUUUGGGGACACAGUAAGGAGACACCGUCCAAUUCGAACUUGCUAGUGGGAGCUCUCAUGCCUGUAGCAGGGCAGGGGGUGGGUGUGGGGAGAGCUCCAGGGGAUUAUAAUAGAGGAGCAUAUAUCUGUUAGGAUGCUGUCGGAAUUCCUAAGUAAUAAGAAAUUUCGUUAACUCACAUAGCAAUAAAUCUCGGGAAGGGCUAUUCCAGUGGCUUAACUGUUUUAACAAGGACCAAGAUGCUCAGUUUUUAUGCUCUGCUGCUCCGAGUAUUGACUUCAUUUCCAAGCUGGUAGCAAGACAAAGGAAAAAUUUCCCAGAAUUCCCACAGCAAACUUCCCCUCAAGUCUCAAUGACCAGAAUUUGGUCAUGAGUCCAUGUCUAAACCAAGCAGUAGCAAAGAACAUGGAAUUACCAUAAUUUAUAAUCUGAUAGAUAAUGGCUGCUGGGGAGUCAAUCCCAAUGUCCAUUUUAGGCCAGCUGCUGGUGUAAGCGGUGAUAAUGUCCCAUCUGAGACUUUCUCCUGAGGCCUCAGGAUUGGCCCACUUGCUUCCUCUUCUGAUGGUUUUACAUCUUUUACUUGCUCAGUACUGCACAGAAAUGUACAGAACCAAAACCAAAAGUCUAAAAGCUUUUCCCUACUUACCUGAUCCUGAGGCACUUCGGGGAUUUUUAAUUUUAAUUUUUCACUAUUUUUAUUUUGUUUUGAGGCUACUAACAAUGAAAAACAAAUAGUUAGUUAACCCCUUCUCCCCCCGCCCCACCCAUUUUCUCUUGUAUUCUCACUUCCUUCUUUUUACUUAAGUUGAGUAGGGGAGUUUUAUGGUGAAGCUUUGGGUAAAGAAAGGGCUGUGGUGAGGCUCAUUUGCAUUUAGAGGAGAGUCAGACCCAGGCAUUCCCCUGGGCAUUUCAGAGCCAGGCAUCCUGUAUGACUGUGGGGGGUAUUGUGAUAAGGAACUGUAACGGGGACUUAGUUCACGGUAGAUGUGGGUCAGGAGCAAGGAGGAAAGUAUUGGUCAUGUAUGCCACCUCCCUACUCUUUCCUGUUGUUCCCAUUAGUUUCUGAAUAGCGAAGCCUGCUCUGGGGCCGUGUAAGGAGCAGAGCGGAGUUUCAGCCUCACUGAGGUGGAGGUAAAAGGAAUAGGCAGGGAAUUCUCAAGCAAAGGAAGCUGAAAGGAAGGAGUUCCUGGGACAGAAGUCAGAGGCUGCUGGAUGAGAAGCCAAACUUCUUUUCAACAGGCUCCACUGAGGUCACUGGGAAACUGAAAAGCAACUUGCUUCUUCUUCAGAAUGAAGACGUGUACUGACCCAGUUUAAAGCCACCUACCCUGAUUUUUCCAUUCGUAUCCAGAUUCAUAUCCAUGUCAGUUCCCCACAAAUCCACACCCAUGCUCCCAGCACAAAGCAAUGCGAUCGCAUAUAUUUGCAAAUUCACACCUGCAGUAGAGCUCCCCUUCCAUUCACACCCUAUUAACCACAUAAAGUGCACAUUUUAUGGCCACAGAUGCUUAGAAAAGACAAAAUCCUUUAGUCUGUCUGGAUUCAAAAGUAAUCUGAAAAAUUAAUCUUUAGCCAAUACCUGGAAACAAUGUGGGAAAGUCCUCGCAUGUACACGAAGUCGUGGAUUAUUGAAGUUUUCACCCAGAAAGAAAGAGAAAAAACUUCUAAAUCUAAUGAUGUGUGACCUCGGAUGGGAAACCUAAUUUUAUAUGUUAAUAUUUUCAGUGUAAACAUACUGCUAAUUGUUUUGUUUUGUUUUGUUUUUUUGAGGAAGAUUAGCCCUGAACUAACAUCUGCUGCCAAUCCUCCUCUUUUUUGCUGAGGAAGACUGGCUCUGAGCUAACAUCUGUGCCCAUCUUCCUCUACUUUAUAUGUGUGGUGCCUACCACAGCAUGGCCUGACAAGCAGUGCAUAGGUCUGCACCUGGGAUCCGAACCGGCAAACCCCAGGCCGCCGAAGUAUAACGUGCGAACUUAACCGCUGUUCCACCGGGCCAGCCCCCAUACUGCUAAUUGUUGAACAGCUGUCUCUUUAAAGGAGAGAAAAAGCUGGGUUUAUGCUAACUGUUCCCUAAAAUCAAGAGUCCGGUCUACAUACAACCAACGAGAAGAAGGAGUGUGGUUAAGUGGAAAGAGGGAACCUAACUCACCAUCAGAAGAACUGAGGGAGAAGACAACCACACCCUCACUUCUGGAGGUAGAUCGUCAUUAGUUUAAGCCAAUCAACAGAUGACAUUCCUCUGGCUACAAUUGGUCCAGGGGUAAGCAUGGUGACCUAAGUUUGCCCAAACAGAUUGAAGGGAGGGACUUAUAUUCCAUGCUUGGUGAGAAGUUAUCCUUUUCUAUUGCCAGACUUAAAAAGGAAGCCUAUACUCCCAAUUGCCCUUGGCAGUCAUCUUUCAACUACAAGGGGAACCAGCCAUAGGAUGAACCCUAUGCCAAGAGGAACAGACACCUGAGACCUUGAUUAUGUCGUUGAGCUCCACCUGGAGCCUACAUUAGGAGGACUUCCUGUUAUAUAGAGUGUUAUGGACUGAACUGUGUUCACUCCAAAUUUGUAGGUUGAAGUCCUGAUCCCUAGUACUUUAGAAUGUCACUGUAUUUGGAGAUAAUGAAGGUUAAAUGAAGUCCUAAGGGUGGGCCCUAAUCCAAUAUGACUUCUGUCCUUGUAAGAAGAAAGAGAGACACUAGGGAUACAUGAGCACAGAUGAAAGGCCACGUGAGGACGCAGCAAGAAGAUGACCAUCUGCAAGCCCAGGAGAGAGGCCUCAGGAGAAACCAGCCCUGCUGACACCUUGAUCUUGGACUUCCAGCCUCCAGAGCUGUGAGGAAUAAAUUUCUGUUGCUUUAGCCCUCCAGUUUGUGGUGUUUUGUUUCGUUAGCCCCAGCAGACUAAUACAUAAGGAGUUGAUUCUAAGAGUAAUCCCCGAUAAAGCUCCCGCAGGCAAAUCUCUGCCUCAGAAUUUGGUUCAUGGUGAAUUCAUCCCGCAACAACUGGUGCCUGAGUGUCUGAGAUAGCAGACUCUAAGAGGGGACUUUGGAAAUGGAUCACUCAUGGGCCAAGUAUCAAUGGGAGCCCCGUCCAUGUUGGUAGAAAUAGCAAAUAGUCCAUGGCAUGCUGUAGCAGGACAAUGUUUAAAACUUUCACCAAUGGUGAACUUGGAUCUUAUAUCAGCGGAAGGAAUGCACUGAUGGAUUCAAAGUAACACUCAUUUGAGAAUGACAGAGGAAAUAAUAAAUACAAGGACAAUGAAAUUGGUUGGUUAUUUCUGAGGGCCAUGGAAUCUCUGAAGAAAGAUAAUGAAAGGGUGAUUAGUUAUCAAUUAAAGGCUAAGUACGAAAGCCAGAGGGCCUCCUUGGUAGCAUAAAAGAGACUCAUCUUCUGCAGCUGUAGGUCCCCAAAAAGCUGAGGGUGACAAGAGUAGCAGAGCUCCAGAGAGAAUUAAAUUCUCAACCACAGCAAGUCUGCUCUGCUCAAGUCAGGGCUCUGACUGGGGAGGAGCAGGCUCCUGAGAUAGGGGAUGGAGACGUCUGGCUUGAUGCACUUGACAGUAUUAAAUCCUCAGAUUCCUCUCCAGACGUGGCUCACUCUGUUAAAGGCUAAUUCUCUCCCUUCAGGGAAGUAGACAGUUCUCUCCCUAAAUAAGCAAGUAGACAAUGACUGUUGAUGUCACCCAGGCUCUGUCAUCAGUCACCCCAGUGCUGGGUACUGCGUACAGGAACCGGGUAGACAUGGUAGCAAGGACAGAGCCCACGCCCUGGUCCUACAGAAUGGGUUGCCACAUACCAGGACUGAUCCAGCUGUUGUUGCUGCCGAAUGCUGCUGAGACCAACCCUAGGCCCCUGAUAUGCCACUUGGUGGCAAGUUAACUACAUUGGAUCUAUUUCAGCAAUUCAUCUCGACUGGAACUGACACACAUUCUGGGUACCAUUCGUGUCUAUAGGACCUCAUCCAGCAUCAUUAUCUGAGAGCAUACAAAGUGUUUCAUUGCUGACAUGGGAUCCUGGGUGACAUCUCAUUGGACUAGGGGACCCAUGUUACAGCAUAGGAGAUAUAGCAGUUCAUACAUGAUCUUAAGAUCCGCUAGCCCUAUCACAUACUAUUCCACAGAGAGGCUGCUGGUUUGAUAAAGUGGUGGAACAGCUUUGAUUAAAAACAGAUGUAAUAAAACCCACUGAGGUGCCAGCUUGGAGAGAACUCAGAGAGGAUGUGGGCACCAUUCUCCAGGAUCAGUAUAUAUCUUUUUUUUUUUUGAGGAAGAUUAGCCCUGAGCUAACUACUGCCAGUCCUCCUCUCUUUUGCUGAGGAAGCCUGGCCCUGAGCUAACAUCCGUGCCCAUCUUCCUCUACUUUAUAUGUGGGACCCCUACCACAGCAUGGCGUGCUAAGCCGUGCCGUGUCCGUACCCGGAAUCCGAACCGACGAACCCGGGGCUGCCGAGAAGCGGAACGUGUGAACUUAACUGCUGCGCCACCAGCCAGGCCCCUCAGUAUAUAUCUUAAAUCAACUAGCAUUGUAUAAUGUUGAGUCUCCAGUAAGCAGAUGUGAUAGAGUCAUUUACAGCUGGACUGGAAAGACUGUCUCUUUGUCUCUGGAGGUGUCUGGUUUUCGACUCUUAGCCAAGAUAAGAGCAGUGGGAUUUAUGAUGUGCUGUCAAAGGCCUGAAACUCCCAAGGCCAAUUUCUUUACUGACAGUCUUCAACUGGCCUAACCAGCUUGACAAGCCUGGCCAAGAGUGCAUGAAAACUCCAUUGGGAACUUCUGCAUUUAGACUUCCCAAAGCUAAGCUUCCUUGCACAGAUAUUUGGUGGUUUGACCCAGAUUCAGAGUGCAAUUGUGUUCGAAUAAGGACCCUGGGAAGUUAUAUAUGCAAUAUCUCUGAGACCUCCAAUGUAUGCUCAAGCUUGCCAUCUCUUACUGCAAUGUAUUAUUUGCCUUUAAAUAAAAGCCGUAAGUGAGUCUGCUUAGUCCUUUCAAAUCUCUGAACUUGGGAAAUCUUUGCAGUAAAUAUAUGGGUCUGGGAACCAAUGGAUGAGUGCAGGAUUGGCUCCACUAACCAUCACUCCCCAGUAACCCACUGGGGAAGCUGUGUUCACUGUCUCUGAAACUCUGCAGAUUUGAGAUCCUGCUUCUCAAAGAGGAAACACUAGGGGACACAGCAAGUGUUUCAUUAAACCUCAAGCUAUAGCUGUCACUCAGUUUCUUCAAACUCAUUGUGCCAAAAGACUUGCAGUCAAGGAAAGGAUUCACCAUCCUGGGAGAAGUAAUUAACUCUCAUCAUCAGGAAAGAAUAUGUUUGGCACCCAUGUGAUCUACUUGGCUUCUUGAUACUCCCUUGCCCAAUUUUUUUUUUUUUGAGGAAGAUUAGCCCUGAGCUAACAUCUGCUGCCAAUCCUCCUCUUUUGGCUGAGGAAGACUGGCCCUGAGCUAACAUCUGUGACCAUCUUCCUCUACUUUAUAUGUGGAACACCUGCCACAACAUGGCUUGCCAAGCAGUGCUAUGUCCGCACCCUGGAUCGGAACCACCAAAGCGGAACGUGUACACUUAACUGCUGUGCCACUGGGCCGGCCCCCCAGUUUUGACUGUGAAUGAACAAGUAAAAUAAGCACAUCUGGAGAAGGGGAUGAUGACCAGGGUCUUAGACCCCACAGGAAUGAGGUUCUGGGUCACCCCACCUAGGUAAACCACGUAGGCCAGAAGAGGUAAAGGGAAUCUAGAAGUGGUAGUAGCGGACAAUGAUGAUGAGUGUUAGUUAUGGUCUUGAGCUAAGCUGCACGGUGGGUGCUGGAGUUCAUUUCACUAACCUUUCUCUCACAAUUCUUUCCCCAACUCCCUGCUUCCAACAGGUCCUUUAAAAUCCUAGAGGAGCUGCUCUUAGAACUUAUUUGAAGCGAGUGGAUCCGAGAAGCCCAGGGAUGGACUGUGGACCACCCAGACCCCCAAAGGCAGGACGGAAGCUCCGAGUCCCCCAGCUGCUGAGAAUGGUGUCAGCCAACAGUUCUCUGCCGAGCCUUUCUCCAGGACCCGGCCUUGGUUGAAGAGUGCCGCCUUGCCGGAGGCCUCCCCGGUCCCAGGUGUAGCUCAUACCCAAUGUCUGGUUGUUGUGGGGAUAUAAAAUCCUGAUCCUCUUGCCCAGUUUGGAGUAACUCUGGAGUGUCAUCCUGUCCCUAGAGUUCCCUUUAGGAUUAGCUGAGGCCUUUGUUGUUACUGUGUCACUGUUCAACUUUUCUCUCUGCUCAGUUUUACUUCUUUUCCACCCCCAGAGGUUUUGUCGUUGAGAGUGCUCCGCACUAAACAUUCUGCACUCAAUCUCUGUCACAGUUUGCUUUUCAGGGAACUCAGCCAUCUGAAGGCAUCUUUCCAAACCCGGCCUAGUCCCCACGGAGCCCGUAAUUGCCCUCUCACUUUUGAUGGAAGACUACAACGGUUCUCAAACAGUAUUUCAAGGAAGCUCUGGGUGGAGGUGCUUCACUGCAAGUGUUUAAUUUCAAUAGCAUUCCUGAAAGACCAUUUUAACCAUGAAAACCACAAAAACCAACAAUAAACACUAUUGCAACAAUAAAAACUAUUUUAAAACCGUGAACACAGAAAUGUAAAUGUGUUCUAUACUAAAUUUUACACAUCUUUGACAGUGUAUUAACUUGUGGUGCCAGCUCAUAUCAUUUCCGGGCAGGCCUCAGAAGA
RNAcentral lists this long non-coding RNA (18834 nucleotides) under Equus asinus (donkey). RNAcentral's name for it is "lncRNA (ENSEASG00005038127.1)". Lineage: Eukaryota; Metazoa; Chordata; Mammalia; Perissodactyla; Equidae. The record is from RNAcentral.